ACGGCAACCGACUCUAUCGCCGGCCGCCGUCUUCACGGACGGUGGCGGGAGGAAAGUCCGGGCAACACGGGCCGCCAUACUUCCUAACAGGAAGGCUGCAGGGAGGCAAGAGCCCUGCAGACAGCGAGUGCCACAGAAAGACAGACCGCCGGGGGCGUGCCUCCGGUAAGGGUGCAAGCGCGAGGUAAGAGCUCACGACGGCGGACAGCGAUGUCCGCUGGUGGUAAACCUUAUGGGUUGAAAGACCAAAUAUACCGACAGAUAAGGGCGGGCCCGCCCGUUGUCGGGGGGUAGGUCGAUAGAGGCCGCCGGCGACGACGGCAGUAGAUUGAUGAUAGAGACUGCCCUUCGGGGCAGGACAGAACCCGGCUUAUGACGUUGCCGUUCCC
RNAcentral lists this RNase P RNA (389 nucleotides) under Bacteroidales bacterium. RNAcentral describes it as "RNase P RNA component class A". It matches the Rfam family "Bacterial RNase P class A". Rfam says of the family: Ribonuclease P (RNase P) is a ubiquitous endoribonuclease, found in archaea, bacteria and eukarya as well as chloroplasts and mitochondria. Its best characterised activity is the generation of mature 5'-ends of tRNAs by cleaving the 5'-leader elements of precursor-tRNAs. The record is from RNAcentral. Lineage: Bacteria; Pseudomonadati; Bacteroidota; Bacteroidia; Bacteroidales.